This 274-nucleotide ribosomal RNA is filed under the name uncultured bacterium. RNAcentral describes it as "partial 16S ribosomal RNA". It matches the Rfam family "Bacterial small subunit ribosomal RNA", at positions 523 to 796 of the family's 1533-position model. The record is from RNAcentral.
AUACAGAGGGUGCGAGCGUUAAUCGGAAUUACUGGGCGUAAAGCGCGCGUAGGCGGCUGAUUAAGUCAGAUGUGAAAUCCCAGGGCUCAACCUUGGAACUGCAUCUGAUACUGGUCUGCUAGAGUUUAUGAGAGGGAAGUAGAAUUUCAGGUGUAGCGGUGAAAUGCAUAGAUAUCUGAAGGAAUACCAGUGGCGAAGGCGGCUUCCUGGCCUAAAACUGACGCUGAGGUGCGAAAGCGUGGGUAGCAAACGGAAUUAGAAACCCCAGUAGUCC